Molecule: long non-coding RNA, 268 nt
Filed under: Homo sapiens (human)
Lineage: Eukaryota; Metazoa; Chordata; Mammalia; Primates; Hominidae
Description: HSALNT0146263
Source: RNAcentral
UUUGGUGUGAGGACAGGCACCAUGGUACAACUUGAAUUUUUGUUUUUAUAAUUUGGGUCUGUGAUUAGCUAUCCUUUACCACUUUUUUGGAAAUGAUUUUUUAAAAUAAAGAAAACCCAGAAGGGAAAGCAUCAGGAUAAAUAGCUAAUGCACCCUGGGCUUAAUACCUAGGUGAUGGGUGGAUGGGUGCAGGAAACCACCAUGGCACAUGUUUAUCUAUGUAACAAACCUGCACGUCCUGCACAGGUAUCCCAGAACUUAAAAUUAA